Symphalangus syndactylus (siamang) is the source of this 1954-nucleotide long non-coding RNA. RefSeq lists it as uncharacterized. The record is from RefSeq and is a predicted model, not a curated record. NCBI's taxonomy places the organism in Eukaryota, Metazoa, Chordata, Mammalia, Primates, Hylobatidae.
UCUCUCCCCUCCCUGCUUAGCAUGUGAUUUGUAUAUUCUUAUUUUUGUUUGAUUUUGUUUUUUUCUAGAAAUGAGGUUUCACUGUGUUACCCAGUCUCAAACUCCUGAGUUCAAGUGAUCUUCCCAUCUCAGGUGCCUCCCAAAGUGCUGGGAUUAUAGAUCUCACUCUGUCACCCAGGGCGGAGUAGAGUGGCAUGAGCCUAGCUCACUAUUACAUUGAACUCCUGGACUCAAGCGAUCCUCCUGCCUCAGACUCCUGAGUAGCUGGGACUACAGGACAGAUGGAGCACAGCUUCUCUAGCUUGCAUUCCAGGGAAGUUCCUGCAAGGAGCAGAGUUCAAGGUGUACAGAUGAUCGAAAUGGGUGUAUUUCUCAGCCCCUGUUAGAUGGGCCUGAAGCCCUUUUGAAUGUAACUGAGCAUGCCCUGAUGGCACAGAGACACCAGGAGCCUGUGCAGUGGCACAGAGCUCCCAGGUUUACCAGGUUUAGGAAUCCCUUCCCUGGAAAGCCUAUAGUGGUCAGCAGGCAAGUUGGAUGGGUAACAGAGUUCAUCACUGUGACUGGAAAUGAGUCUCACCUGAAAUGCAACAGCACCUACUUUACACAGGUCUCUUGACCAUCCUCAACAUUCUUGGUGGCUGCAACCUUAGUAGGCUUUGACCAUUAAUUAAACUGACAUGAUUCACGAAUUGGAUAAAGGCUUUUGACAGUAGGAAUAAACAUCAGAUGGGUAGAUUGAUUCCCUAUCCUUAAGGAAAAUAACCACAGCUGGUUUGAGUAUGAUGUUUAAUGUAAGAUACAGUGGCUUGGCAGAGUUGGUGCAAAACUAAAGAGUACCAGAUUAAGUUCUAGUCAGUGAGUUAGCAGCCUAGGCACUUGGGCAAAAAAUUGGCCCUGCUGUCCCAAGUCCUCCAAAGCCCCCUCCAUAUCACCAGCUAGGAGCUCCAAGACUGAUAUGCCACUACUUGGAGGCUUGGGUAGAAUCCAAGUGUCCCCAGUUUCCAAAGUGACAAGAGACUGGCCCCAGCCAUCAGAGCAGUAGAAUUUUCAGGACAGGGUUGAAGAAAGUGGGGACAGAACUGGACAUGGGGGCCUGAGCUGCUGAACAUUUGCUACAUGCAGUAGUCUAAGAGGCUCACAGCUGGAGAGGUUAGCCUGUCCACCCUCCCACCCAUGUGUGGUAGGGAAGAAGGUGACCAUCUAGUUAAAGAAAAAAAAAACUUCCAAAGCUGUAUUUGGCAUAAGCUAAUACCACUGCUAGUGCUGCCAGUGGCCAGGCACAGAUACAGAAGGCCCUGAGGAGUUGGGAGGAAGGGAGAACAAUGUGCAGGCAGAGCAGGAAACAGCCAGCUCAGGUCCCCGCCCCAGGGGCCCAGAAGGAUAAAGGCUGUGCAGUAAAGGGAACAUAGGGUUCUUCUCUUUGGUCAGGCAAAGGCCCGAAUAUGGGCCUGUUAGGUGAAAGGGCUGAAGGGCACAGGCUCUGCCCUUGGACCCUAGCUUUAGGCUCAUCACAUUGAAGCAGUGUUGGCGCGAAACGAAGGCAGGAAGACAGAGCAGAGUCAGGCUGGGACUCGCCAGCUCCUAGGAGCUGCCCUUGUCCUUGUCGUCCAUCAGGUCAUACCUGUGAAAACAAGAGGGCUCAUGUAGAAAGAUGACUCUUGUGUCAUCUUUAUAAAUGAGACAUGAUCCAAGGGCUUCUCUACUUGAUAGAAUCAAUGGUUCUCUCCUCAGAUUGUAUCUUUUUUUCCUUUCUUGUGAUUGGAAUUUCUCCCACUGAAAUAUCCAGACUAUCCCCCACCCACGCAGACACUCACCACCGGGCUAUACCCUGGGAAAGGUCUGUCUCAGCUAGGUCCAGCUGCACCUGUGUUGGAGGAUGAUGGGGGAAAGAUGUUAUUUUUUUAUUUUUUGAGACAGGAUCUCAUUCUGAUGAUGCUGUUUUGAAAUCUCCAAA